Molecule: ribosomal RNA, 593 nt
Filed under: beta proteobacterium TH-H56
Lineage: Bacteria; Pseudomonadati; Pseudomonadota; Betaproteobacteria
Description: bacterial SSU rRNA
Rfam family: Bacterial small subunit ribosomal RNA
Source: RNAcentral
GCUGGCGGCAUGCUUUACACAUGCAAGUCGAACGGUAACAGGGAGCUUGCUCCGCUGACGAGUGGCGAACGGGUGAGUAAUGCGUCGGAACGUGCCGAGUAGUGGGGGAUAACGCAUCGAAAGGUGUGCUAAUACCGCAUACGAACUGAGGUUGAAAGUGGGGGACCUUCGGGCCUCACGCUAUUCGAGCGGCCGACGUCUGAUUAGCUAGUUGGUGAGGUAAAGGCUCACCAAGGCGACGAUCAGUAGCGGGUCUGAGAGGAUGAUCCGCCACACUGGGACUGAGACACGGCCCAGACUCCUACGGGAGGCAGCAGUGGGGAAUUUUGGACAAUGGGCGCAAGCCUGAUCCAGCCAUGCCGCGUGUCUGAAGAAGGCCUUCGGGUUGUAAAGGACUUUUGUCCGGGAGCAAAUGCCUGGUGUUAAUAGCAUCGGGAGCUGAGAGUACCGGAAGAAUAAGCACCGGCUAACUACGUGCCAGCAGCCGCGGUAAUACGUAGGGUGCAAGCGUUAAUCGGAAUUACUGGGCGUAAAGCGUGCGCAGGCGGUUUUGUAAGCCAGAUGUGAAAUCCCCGGGCUCAACCUGGGAACUG